AUUGAACGCUGGCGGCAUGCUUUACACAUGCAAGUCGAACGGUAACAGGUUAAGCUGACGAGUGGCGAACGGGUGAGUAAUGCAUCGGAACGUGCCCGAUCGUGGGGGAUAACGCAGCGAAAGCUGCGCUAAUACCGCAUACGAUCUGAGGAUGAAAGCGGGGGACCGUAAGGCCUCGCGCGAUCGGAGCGGCCGAUGUCAGAUUGGGUAGUUGGUGGGGUAAAGGCCUACCAAGACGACGAUCUGUAGCUGGUCUGAGAGGACGACCAGCCGCACUGGGACGGAGACACGGCCCACACUCCUACGGGAGUGAGCAGUGGGGAAUUUUGGACAAUGGUCGCAAGCCUGAUCCAGCAAUGCCGCGUGCAGGAAGAAGGCCUUCGGGUUGUAAACUGCUUUUGUACGGAGCGAAAAGGCUCUCUCUAAUACAGGGGGCUCAUGACGGUACCGUAAGAAUAAGCACCGGCUAACUACGUGCCAGCAGCCGCCGUAA
RNAcentral lists this ribosomal RNA (493 nucleotides) under uncultured bacterium. RNAcentral's name for it is "partial 16S ribosomal RNA". It matches the Rfam family "Bacterial small subunit ribosomal RNA", at positions 30 to 523 of the family's 1533-position model. The record is from RNAcentral.